GACGAACGCUGGCGGCGUGCUUAACACAUGCAAGUCGAACGGAAAGGCCCUGCUUUUGUGGGGUGCUCGAGUGGCGAACGGGUGAGUAACACGUGAGUAACCUGCCCUUGACUUUGGGAUAACUUCAGGAAACUGGGGCUAAUACCGGAUAGGAGCUCCUGCUGCAUGGUGGGGGUUGGAAAGUUUCGGCGGUUGGGGAUGGACUCGCGGCUUAUCAGCUUGUUGGUGGGGUAGUGGCUUACCAAGGCUUUGACGGGUAGCCGGCCUGAGAGGGUGACCGGCCACAUUGGGACUGAGAUACGGCCCAGACUCCUACGGGAGGCAGCAGGGGGGAAUAUUGAACAAUGGGCGGAAGCCUGAUGCAGCAACGCCGCGUGCGGGAUGACGGCCUUCGGGUUGUAAACCGCUUUCGCCUGUGACGAAGCGUGAGUGAAGGUAAUGGGUAAAGAAGCACCGGCUAACUACGUG
This 468-nucleotide ribosomal RNA is filed under the name uncultured bacterium. RNAcentral's name for it is "partial 16S ribosomal RNA". It matches the Rfam family "Bacterial small subunit ribosomal RNA", at positions 28 to 507 of the family's 1533-position model. The record is from RNAcentral.